GACGAGCCACACGAACGUUAUUCGGAAUCACUGGGCUUAAAGGGCGCGUAGGCGGGCUCGCCAGUCUGUGGUGAAAGCCCCCGGCUUAACCGGGGAAGUGCCGUGGAUACUGCGAGCCUCGAGGAGGGUAGGGGCAUCUGGAACAGCCGGUGGAGCGGUGAAAUGCGUUGAUAUCGGCUGGAACUCCGGUGGCGAAGGCGAGGUGCUGGACCCUUUCUGACGCUGAGGCGCGAAAGCUAGGGGAGCAAACGGG
This 253-nucleotide ribosomal RNA is filed under the name uncultured bacterium. RNAcentral's name for it is "partial 16S ribosomal RNA". It matches the Rfam family "Bacterial small subunit ribosomal RNA", at positions 524 to 776 of the family's 1533-position model. The record is from RNAcentral.